CCUACGGGUGGCUGCAGUGGGGAAUAUUGGACAAUGGGGGGAACCCUGAUCCAGCCAUGCCGCGUGUGUGAAGAAGGCCCUCGGGUUGUAAAGCACUUUCAGUGAGGAAGAACGCCUGGUGGUUAAUACCCAUCAGGAAAGACAUCACUCACAGAAGAAGCACCGGCUAACUCCGUGCCAGCAGCCGCGGUAAUACGGAGGGUGCGAGCGUUAAUCGGAAUUACUGGGCGUAAAGCGCGCGUAGGUGGCUUGAUAAGCCGGUUGUGAAAGCCCCGGGCUCAACCUGGGAACGGCAUCCGGAACUGUCAAGCUAGAGUGCAGGAGAGGAAGGUGGAAUUCCCGGUGUAGCGGUGAAAUGCGUAGAGAUCGGGAGGAAUACCAGUGGCGAAGGCGGCCUUCUGGACUGACACUGACACUGAGGUGCGAAAGCGUGGGUAGCAAACAGGAUUAGAUACCCCUGUAGUC
RNAcentral lists this ribosomal RNA (465 nucleotides) under Vreelandella stevensii. RNAcentral describes it as "partial 16S ribosomal RNA". It matches the Rfam family "Bacterial small subunit ribosomal RNA", at positions 338 to 795 of the family's 1533-position model. The record is from RNAcentral. Lineage: Bacteria; Pseudomonadati; Pseudomonadota; Gammaproteobacteria; Oceanospirillales; Halomonadaceae.